Molecule: long non-coding RNA, 912 nt
Organism: Gorilla gorilla gorilla (western lowland gorilla)
Lineage: Eukaryota; Metazoa; Chordata; Mammalia; Primates; Hominidae
Exons: 4
Source: RefSeq, a predicted model, not a curated record
UUGGGGGGGCAAGAUGGGUGAGACUGGACCAGUCAGGCCUAUCUACAGGUCCCUCCGUGGCAAGCACAAGCACCAGCAUUGAGGGAGAAUCCAGUGGGCAGCCAACAAGCCCCCAGAGGUGUACCUAGGCACAGAACUGAAAAAUCUCCUUGGCUCCAAGUUCUACGCAUGGGGAGAGAAAGUGGCCUAAACUCCUAAUCCAGGACAGUGGGUGUUCCAGAUGGCCUAGAGAUUUGCCUGUGUGCAGAGUAUAGAGGGCCCUGCUGUACCAUGGUCUCUGCACAGGAGAGCAAAGUGCUGAUUAGUGCUGGAAUAAGAAAAGUACAAGAUGCAAUUGGACCAUGAACAAGAAGCUACUAACUUCUUUAGAGAAAGCAUUCUCACAGGCCUUCGAUGAAUUGGAAGAUGUCCACCCACAUGGUGAGGGCAGAUCUUUCUUACUCCACCCACCGAUGCAGAUGUCAGUCUCUUCUGGAAGCACCUUCACGGGCAUACCCAGAGCUAAAGCUUGACCAGCAUUAGUUGGUAAAUAUGUGAUUAGGAACUCUUAUGAACCAGAAAAGAGAAAUCUUGCACUGAUUGGAAUAUGGCAGCCACUCACCAUCUCCCCUGUCUGCUCUCACUCAGUUUAUCUGACCCAAUGGGAAUGGAGAAUCUCAGGCAUAAAACCAACUGCUUCGUGGGUUACUCUGGAAAAUUCUAAACUGAAGCUUUUUUGAGAAAGGAGACAUUACCUCAGAACUUCCACAUGUAGCUACUGUGGAGUUUCUGUCUAUGUGAAUGGAUAUUUUCACCAGAUACUGGAAACAUGCUAAAGCUGGAUUCCAGUGCAAUAAAGGCAACUCAUUUAGCCAUUGGCCUGUGAUACUAUGAGAAAUACAGUUAAAUUAGACGAAUGCUCCACCAGGAAUU